Molecule: ribosomal RNA, 500 nt
Filed under: uncultured bacterium
Lineage: Bacteria
Description: partial 16S ribosomal RNA
Rfam family: Bacterial small subunit ribosomal RNA
Source: RNAcentral
AUUGAACGCUGGCGGAAUGCUUUACACAUGCAAGUCGGGCGGCAGCGCGGGGGCAACCCUGGCGGCGAGCGGCGAACGGGUGAGUAAUGCAUCGGAACGUACCCAGUCGUGGGGGAUAACUGUCCGAAAGGACAGCUAAUACCGCAUACGACCUGAGGGUGAAAGCGGGGGAUCGCAAGACCUCGCGCGAUUGGAGCGGCCGAUGUCGGAUUAGCUAGUUGGUGGGGUAAAGGCCCACCAAGGCGACGAUCUGUAGCUGGUCUGAGAGGACGACCAGCCACACUGGAACUGAGACACGAUCCAGACUCCUACGGGAGGCAGCAGGGGGGAAUUUUGGACAAUGGGGGCAACCCUGAUCCAGCCAUUCCGCGUGAGUGAAGAAGGCCUUCGGGUUGUAAAGCUCUUUCGGCAGGAACGAAACGGUCGUCGCUAAUACCGGUGGCUAAUGACGGUACCUGAAGAAGAAGCACCGGCUAACUACGUGCCAGCCGCCGCAGUAA